AGAUGCGAAGGCGAUCUGGCAGCGGCAUCUAUCACCCCAUUGAUCACAAGGGUUGAUUUGGCUGAUCUGGCUGGCUAAGUGAGUGUCCCCUUCCUUCCUCAAUGCUCCAUGUGUGUCCCUCCCAAAGCCACGCACUUGUUGGAAGAGGACGACCACCCCUGAUAGAGGAGGACCGUUCCUCCAUCAAGGGUAUACUAGUAGCUGCCCUCCCCUGCUAGAACCUCCAAACAAGCUCUCAAAAUCAGAGCCUAACCCAGGCACAAUGAAAUAUGUGCUAUGUGUAUGAUGACUUCAU
This 295-nucleotide small nuclear RNA is filed under the name Chinchilla lanigera (long-tailed chinchilla). Its description in RNAcentral is "7SK RNA (ENSCLAG00000021648.1)". It matches the Rfam family "7SK RNA". Rfam says of the family: 7SK was discovered as an abundant small nuclear RNA in the mid-70s but a possible function has only recently been suggested. Two independent studies have found that 7SK RNA binds the CDK9/cyclin T complex (known as elongation factor P-TEFb). Lineage: Eukaryota; Metazoa; Chordata; Mammalia; Rodentia; Chinchillidae. The record is from Rfam by way of RNAcentral.